GUGGGGAAUAUUGGACAAUGGGCGAAAGCCUGAUCCAGCCAUGCCGCGUGUGUGAAGAAGGUCUUCGGAUUGUAAAGCACUUUAAGUUGGGAGGAAGGGCAGUAAGUUAAUACCUUGCUGUUUUGACGUUACCAACAGAAUAAGCACCGGCUAACUUCGUGCCAGCAGCCGCGGUAAUACGAAGGGUGCAAGCGUUAAUCGGAAUUACUGGGCGUAAAGCGCGCGUAGGUGGUUUUGUAAGUUGGAGGUGAAAUCCCCGUGCUCAACCUGGGAACUGCCUCCAAAACUGCAUGACUAAAGUACGGUAGAGGGUAGUGGAAUUUCCUGUGUAGCGGUGAAAUGCGUAGAUAUAGGAAGGAACACCAGUGGCGAAGGCGACUACCUGGACUGAUACUGACACUGAGGUGCGAAAGCGUGGGGAGCAAACAGGAUUAGAAACCCGGGUAGUCC
This 450-nucleotide ribosomal RNA is filed under the name uncultured bacterium. Its description in RNAcentral is "partial 16S ribosomal RNA". It matches the Rfam family "Bacterial small subunit ribosomal RNA", at positions 354 to 796 of the family's 1533-position model. The record is from RNAcentral.